Equus caballus (horse) is the source of this 2605-nucleotide non-coding RNA. NCBI's taxonomy places the organism in Eukaryota, Metazoa, Chordata, Mammalia, Perissodactyla, Equidae. The record is from RefSeq and is a predicted model, not a curated record.
CUGGGCUGGCCCCAACAUUUUUAAAGUUUUUGAUGUGUAUUCAUAAAUUUAUUUUCAUAAAGUUUUCUCCAAUUUUCCACCCUUGCAGUAGUGUUUAGCUCAUCUUACUCCAACAUUUAUUAAAAAAUAAUUCAUUCUUUUUGCAACCUAGCAUCCCGGGUAACUGAUCCACUAACUACACAUUUCUGGUCCUGGCUUCUUAAGAACCUUAUUAAGCUGAUGCUGUGGGUAUACAGGUUAAAAAGAGGAUUUGGGAAGUAUUAUUAGAGGCAAAGAACAGAAACUGGCAGCUUCCUGUAUGAGAAAGGAAGAGGAAAAUUGGUGAGGGUGGUAGGAUAGGUGCAGAUGGGGGAAGGGAGAGCACAGGGCUGCAAUGUUUACUGAGCAUCUCUACAUGAAAGUCGCUUUACAUAUAUUAUUCAUCUCCUAAUAAUUCUGUGAGGGAGAUAAGGUGAUCCUCGUCUUUCAGUGAGGAAACCAAAGCUCAGAAGGAGACUCAGUUUCAGUCACAGAGAAGGGAGGUGGCAGAGCCAGGAUUCAACCCAGAUCUGUUUGACACUCUGACAGGGACUGGCACUGGCAUCUUUCCACUGGACCAUGGUGCUCUCAGGAGAAGACCAGAGCCCUGAGACACAAGAGGGAUAGAGAAGAUGGGCAAAGCUGCAAAGUCAAAGCUGAAAAAUCUUGGCAUAGACAAAGUUUAUGUACACCGGUCCAGUUAUGUACACCCGAUCUAGGUGCGGGUUGUCACUCUGUUUGAGAAUGAAAGGUGCCUCCAUCUGGUGGAUGGUCAUAUUUCUGUAAGAAGGUGUGUGGGUUCAGCCCCUGUGGCAUGCCACUGAACUGGAUAAUCUGGUGGAUUUCAGCAAAUACCACAAGCCACAGCAGAGCCACCUGCAUGUCCCACAUCCACCUAGGAGAGGUGGUUAUGAAAGGGUGUAGAGCAGAGAAAUCUGCAGCUUAAUCUGAUGGAAAAACUCUAGAGGGAGGCCGAAGACCAGAACCAGUUAAGUGAGAAAGACCAGGUCAUGGGUGGAAAAAUUAUAAAUCUGUGGUUUACCUCAGAUUACUGCAUUGCUUCUUAAUUUGGGGAUAAAUAAUACCCUAUGUUAUUUUAAGGUGUGACUUAAUUUUCAUUGAUGUGGGUAAGGUGGUGCAAUUAAAUUUUACAGCACUCAUUCAUAAGACAAACACUUCAACAAUAGGUAUGACUACUGAUCUUAUCACAAAAUAGAUGGUAAUUAAGGCAGUGAGCUCUUGGCUGGUGUAUCAUGGAAAAUAGUAGUGGAGUUUAGUCCUCUGUUUUCUAAGGGCAACUAUGUGUUUGUUGUGAGUGGUAGGCAGUGGAAAAGAUCCCUGAUGAAAUGGCAGAGGGUGUGUGGGGAGGGGGAGGUUGUAGUCAUGGUGGUAGAGUUUCGUUAUAAACACACCUCUCUCUGCACCAGAGAAUGAGGCCUAAACACCCAUUUUCAGGAUUGAUGACGGCUGUAGCAGAGCCAUCUGGAGUCAUACCAAGGUUAAGGUUAGUUUAGGGGGCCCACGGCAGAGGGCACGGGCUUUGGCACUAUGAGCUAGGAUUCCUCGCUUAUUUCAAUAUACUUUCCAUUAUAUCUAUCCACUUGUGUUAGCUCGUUGAUGGAGAGACUACAUCUGGUUCCUUUUAUAAUAUGGCCAGCACAGAACUGGUGCUCAGUGAAUUCACAGUAAUACACAAUCAGACUGGAGUACAACAUCCCAUUUUUAUUAUUUGUGAUUAUUCAUAUUUGGGAUUAGGAUUAAAAGAUAAGGUAGAUUUCAGCUGAUGUAUGGGAAUUUUCCUCUCUGGAUGCUGAAUUUCCCUUGGAAGAAAAAAAUGGAACCCAAAUGAUGAGUAUGUCAUGAUACAUGAUGAAAUGUAUCAUAAAACAAAAAAUUGAUUUUUCUGGUCAGCGUGGCCCAUAUUGUUCUAGUCUGUUAAACGUGCUUCUCUAAAUCAGAUGCAAUAGUUGAGGCACUGAUGGUUGACUACACCCUCCCCAACCACACACACCUGCCAUUCCUUUGCCUGAGUCUUAUGAAAAAGAGAAGCCAGUUAGAGAUCCACUCCCUAUGCUCUUUUUAGGUAACAGCUUAAUAAUCUUGAGAGGAAGAGAGAUGGACCAGUGAGAAGCUGAUUUUGUCCUGAUAGAAUAGCGGCUUGAGAGAGAAGCGGGGAUGGCUGGUGUUACACGUGGACAUUUAGAAUAAUACUCUGACAUUCAGUCUUAAUCCUUAGGUUUCCUUUGAGAUGGAAAUCCCCACAAUUGAACCAUGGUCGAGAGCAGCUGUAUGCUCAUAGAAAGAAAGCCCAGCCCAUGAGAAUCUUCUAUACUAGAUAAAGGGUAACCCCUGCCUCCCCCUGGAAGCUCCCUGGGAACAUGGAUCCUGAGGAUGGUGUCUAUUCCAAGGAAUAAGUAGGCUCCAGGCUUUCACGGCCAGAAUCUCCUGUUGCGGUUGGAGCUGCUUUGAGGCCCAAGGCCUGGAUUUAGCGGCUGCCUUCUCAAUCCCUGAGGCAACGUGUCUGCAGGCAAACUGGCCUUCUCUCUCCUCUGCUGCCCCCUCCCCACCUGGCUGUGCGCCUCAUACC